UGGGGUGUAGCUCAGUGGUAGAGCGGCGGUCUCCAAAACCGCGCUGCGGGAGUUCAAUUCUCCUCACCCUGG
This 72-nucleotide transfer RNA is filed under the name Nocardia puris. It matches the Rfam family "tRNA". Rfam says of the family: Transfer RNA (tRNA) molecules are approximately 80 nucleotides in length. Their secondary structure includes four short double-helical elements and three loops (D, anti-codon, and T loops). The record is from Rfam by way of RNAcentral. Lineage: Bacteria; Bacillati; Actinomycetota; Actinomycetes; Mycobacteriales; Nocardiaceae.